GACGAACGCUGGCGGCGUGCUUAACACAUGCAAGUCGAGCGAUGAAGUUCCUUCGGGAAUGGAUUAGCGGCGGACGGGUGAGUAACACGUGGGUAACCUGCCUCAUAGAGGGGAAUAGCCUUUCGAAAGGAAGAUUAAUACCGCAUAAGAUUGUAGCUUCGCAUGAAGUAGCAAUUAAAGGAGUAAUCCGCUAUGAGAUGGACCCGCGUCGCAUUAGCUAGUUAGUGAGGUAACGGCUCACCAAGGCGACGAUGCGUAGCCGACCUGAGAGGGUGAUCGGCCACAUUGGGACUGAGACACGGCCCAGACUCCUACGGGAGGCAGCAGUGGGAAAUAUUGCACAAUGGGGGAAACCCUGAUGCAGCAACGCCGCGUGAGUGAUGACGGUCUUCGGAUUGUAAAGCUCUGUCUUCAGGGACGAUAAUGACGGUACCUGAGGAGGAAGCCACGGCUAACUACGUGCCAGCCGCCGCCGUAA
This 478-nucleotide ribosomal RNA is filed under the name uncultured bacterium. RNAcentral describes it as "partial 16S ribosomal RNA". It matches the Rfam family "Bacterial small subunit ribosomal RNA", at positions 28 to 523 of the family's 1533-position model. The record is from RNAcentral.